UGAACGCUGGCGGCAGGCCUAACACAUGCAGGUCGAACGGCAGCACAGGAGAGCUUGCUCUCUGGGUGGCGAGUGGCGGACGGGUGAGGAAUAUAUCGGAAUCUACCCUUUCGUGGGGGAUAACGUAGGGAAACUUACGCUAAUACCGCAUACGAACUGAGGUUGAAAGCGGCGGACCGCAAGGCGUCGCGCGGAUGGAUGAGCCGAUAUCGGAUUAGCUAGUUGGUGGGGUAAAGGCUCACCAAGGCGACGAUCCGUAGCUGGUUUGAGAGGACGACCAGCCACACUGGGACUGAGACACGGCCCAGACUCCUACGGGAGGCAGCAGUGGGGAAUUUUCCGCAAUGGGCGAAAGCCUGACGGAGCAAUACCGCGUGAGGGACGACUGCCUAUGGGUUGUAAACCUCUUUUUUCAGGGAGGAAGCAAUGACGUGUACCUGAAGAAUAAGCAUCGGCUAACUCCGUGCCAGCAG
This 473-nucleotide ribosomal RNA is filed under the name uncultured bacterium. Its description in RNAcentral is "bacterial SSU rRNA". It matches the Rfam family "Bacterial small subunit ribosomal RNA", at positions 30 to 514 of the family's 1533-position model. The record is from RNAcentral.